AAGUCGUAACAAGGUUUCCGUAGGUGAACCUGCGGAAGGAUCAUGAAUACGUAUCCAAACGUUAAAACCCCCCCCGUGAACCUUCAUCCUGCUCUUGUAACCCGCGUAGUUCGCAAUCUCUGAUAAAUCAUAGCCCGGAAAGUUGUAGUGAUCCUCAGUUGUAGUGAGUCCCCAUGCCCCCUAAUAACCCCAGUGUUUAAUGUGAAGCUCAAUGUAAUACAUUGGGUAAAAAAACCGAACAACUGUUAACAAUGGAUAUCUUGGUUCUC
Molecule: unclassified non-coding RNA, 269 nt
Filed under: fungal sp.
Lineage: Eukaryota; Fungi
Description: partial internal transcribed spacer region
Rfam family: Eukaryotic small subunit ribosomal RNA (bases 1-46)
Source: RNAcentral